This 332-nucleotide ribosomal RNA is filed under the name uncultured Desulfobulbus sp. RNAcentral describes it as "bacterial SSU rRNA". It matches the Rfam family "Bacterial small subunit ribosomal RNA", at positions 1050 to 1382 of the family's 1533-position model. Lineage: Bacteria; Pseudomonadati; Thermodesulfobacteriota; Desulfobulbia; Desulfobulbales; Desulfobulbaceae. The record is from RNAcentral.
UGUCGUCAGCUCGUGUCGUGAGAUGUUGGGUUAAGUCCCGCAACGAGCGCAACCCUUGCCUUUAGUUGCCAGCAGUUCGGCUGGGCACUCUAAAGGGACUGCCGGUGUUAAACCGGAGGAAGGUGGGGAUGACGUCAAGUCCUCAUGGCCUUUAUGACCAGGGCUACACACGUACUACAAUGGCCGAUACAAAGGGCAGCGACACUGCGAGGUGAAGCCAAUCCCGUAAAAUCGGUCUCAGUCCGGAUUGGAGUCUGCAACUCGACUCCAUGAAGUUGGAAUCGCUAGUAAUCGUGGAUCAGCAUGCCACGGUGAAUACGUUCCCGGGCCUU